ACACCUGUAGCUCAGUGGAUAGAGCGCCGCCCUCCGGAGGCGGGUGCGUGGGUUCGACUCCCGUCAGGUGUG
RNAcentral lists this transfer RNA (72 nucleotides) under Lachnospiraceae bacterium. Its description in RNAcentral is "tRNA-Arg". It matches the Rfam family "tRNA". From Rfam's summary of the family: Transfer RNA (tRNA) molecules are approximately 80 nucleotides in length. Their secondary structure includes four short double-helical elements and three loops (D, anti-codon, and T loops). The record is from RNAcentral. Lineage: Bacteria; Bacillati; Bacillota; Clostridia; Lachnospirales; Lachnospiraceae.